This 118-nucleotide ribosomal RNA is filed under the name Periophthalmus magnuspinnatus. The record is from RNAcentral. Lineage: Eukaryota; Metazoa; Chordata; Actinopteri; Gobiiformes; Gobiidae.
UACGACGGCGAUAUCAGCUUGAGAAUGCACAAUCUCGUCUGAUCUCAGAAGCUAAACAAGGCUGAGUCUGGGUAGUACUUGGAUGGGAGACAGCUGGAAAUACCUAGUACCGCUGUUC